RNAcentral lists this ribosomal RNA (264 nucleotides) under uncultured bacterium. RNAcentral describes it as "partial 16S ribosomal RNA". It matches the Rfam family "Bacterial small subunit ribosomal RNA", at positions 793 to 1055 of the family's 1533-position model. The record is from RNAcentral.
GUCCACGCCGUAAACGAUGACUACUAGGUGUCGGGGAGCAAAGCUCUUCGGUGCCGCAGCAAACGCAAUAAGUAGUCCACCUGGGGAGUACGUUCGCAAGAAUGAAACUCAAAGGAAUUGACGGGGACCCCGCACAAGCGGUGGAGCAUGUGGUUUAAUUCGAAGCAACGCGAAGAACCUUACCUGCUCUUGACAUCCCGGUGACCGGCAUGUAAUGAUGCCUUUUCUUCGGAACAUCGGUGACAGGUGGUGCAUGGUUGUCGU